Long non-coding RNA from Gadus macrocephalus (Pacific cod), 621 nucleotides. RefSeq lists it as uncharacterized. NCBI's taxonomy places the organism in Eukaryota, Metazoa, Chordata, Actinopteri, Gadiformes, Gadidae. The record is from RefSeq and is a predicted model, not a curated record. The transcript is spliced from 3 exons.
GGGUGGUCUGUUAGAUGCACUUGGAUUACCGGCCAGUGAGCUGUCAAACUAAACUGCCUUACCCAGCCAGCAUCUUGCUUUUUACGCGCGGUAAUAAAGCGCACAGACGCGCGUCUGUAGGCAACGUCCGUUUUAGUUUUUAUUGUGCUAAUAAAAGUAUAUCCGCUGCAACGACCCUUAUUUGACAGACGGAUCGGCCUAAGUGAGUGGCAGUUGAUUGAUUUUUAUUGUGAUAUUUUUUUUUACAUCCAUGGAUGGAGAGAAAAAAAUAAACUUGUGAAUUGAGGUGAUAUUUAAUAGGAGCCGGGCACGAUGCGAAUCAGUUUCCGAGGACGCUUGGUCAGUGCAGAGCUCUGCUGAACGACUGCAUUGAUUUUGUGGAUUUCCUUCUAUUUACUAUCAGAUUAUUCUGGAAGGAGGCAACUAUGAACUUCAUCAGCAUCCUUUGGUUCCUGAUGCCAUUGAUGGGGCAGAGCAGGGCGUCAGCCAUCGACGAUCCUGCCCCAGACGCCUCAGACGGGCCUGGGUGGGGGAACCUAGAGGAGGGCCAAGGCCAUGCAGAGAGCCAGGGUCAACAGCGCUGUCUGCAGUCGGCCAAUGAAGAGCGACCGUCCAAGCCCA